RNAcentral lists this ribosomal RNA (469 nucleotides) under uncultured bacterium. Its description in RNAcentral is "partial 16S ribosomal RNA". It matches the Rfam family "Bacterial small subunit ribosomal RNA", at positions 28 to 507 of the family's 1533-position model. The record is from RNAcentral.
GACGAACGCUGGCGGCGUGCUUAACACAUGCAAGUCGAACGAUGAAGCCUUAGCUUGCUUUGGUGGAUUAGUGGCGAACGGGUGAGUAACACGUGAGCAACGUGCCCAGGACUCUGGAAUAACCGCGGGAAACCGUGGCUAAUACCGGAUAGGUGCCGAGGCCGCAUGGUCUUCGGUUGGAAAGUUUUUGCGGUUCUGGAUCGGCUCACGGCCUAUCAGCUUGUUGGUGGGGUAAUGGCCUACCAAGGCGACGACGGGUAGCCGGCCUGAGAGGGUGACCGGCCCCCAUGGGACUUAGGAAAGGCCCCGGACCCUACGGGAGGCAGGAGUGGGGAAUAUUGCCCCAAGGGCGCAAGCCUGAUGCAGCCACGCCGCGUUGGGGAAGACGGGCCUCGGGUUGUAAACCUCUUUUAGUAGGGAAGAAGCGCAAGUGACGGUACCUGCAGAAAAAGCACCGGCUAACUACGUG